Molecule: long non-coding RNA, 1081 nt
Organism: Amphimedon queenslandica
Lineage: Eukaryota; Metazoa; Porifera; Demospongiae; Haplosclerida; Niphatidae
Exons: 4
Source: RefSeq, a predicted model, not a curated record
CGCAAUAUGGCGUAUUUUUCUCUGUUUUCAAAUCCUUGCUGCUCUUUGCUCAGGUCCUGUGGAGUGCCACUGUCAACUAAAAUAAUUGCCAAAACAUGAGCCAGUAAUGUUGCUAAACGUAGUCAGGAUUCCGGGUAACUCUCUCAUGACGAAGGAAAUUUGUCUUAAAUUCUUAAUUUCUGAGAUAUGGUAGCUCAAACAUCGCUUACCGCGACUGUUUACACGAGGUCCUGUUCUCCAGGAAGAUCUGUCAGAGUCUUUUAAACUGUAGAUUCUUACUAUCAAGUUUGUAUACAACAAAUAGAGCCAGAUUAUUGUGUCAUAAACUGUGUAUAAGUGUAGAAAACUGAAGCUUUUUUACCAGUAACUGUCCAUUGUGUGUAACUAUGAAGUAGGCGGUGCUUAAUUUGAGCCACACCUUCAAUUGCUGCAGCAAAGCAAUGCAAGGCUGAUUAUUGGUUGUAUGUCUUGUCUGUAAUAGAUCCCUUUUUAAUAAUUUGUGUUGAUGUGAAAAUUUGUGUCUUAGUAUAUAAAUGUUUGAUUCUGUUGUUUUGGUUGAUCUUUUGAUUGUUAAUAAUCGUAUCUACAAGAGUAAUAUACUGCAAUUAUGUCACGCUGAUUGUGGCGAGGGCAUGUGCUAUAGUGCACUCGUUGCCCUCGCCCACGCCAUAGGCGUAUAGGCGAGGGUACUGCGCUCGUCGUGUCAGUGUGUGUGUGUGUGUGUGUGUGUGUGUGUGUGUGUGUGUGUGUGUUCGCAAUAUGGCGUCUUUUUCUCUGUUUUCAAAUCCUUGCUGCUCUUUGCUCAGGUCCUGUGGAGUGCCACUGUCAACUAAAAUAAUUGCCAAAAGUAGUUUUUCUUCAGUUUACUUCUUUAUCUGUCUUCUCCUUGGCAGCAUGAGCCAGUAAUGUUGCUAAACGUAGUCAGGAUUCCGGGUAACUCUCUCAUGACGAAGGAAAUUUGUCUUAAAUUCUUAAUUUCUGAGAUAUGGUAGCUCAAACAUCGCUUACCGCGACUGUUUACACGAGGUCCUGUUCUCCAGGAAGAUCUGUCAGAGUCUUUUAAACUGUAGAUUCUUACUAU